RNAcentral lists this ribosomal RNA (628 nucleotides) under Russula sp. GAL15068. RNAcentral describes it as "LSU rRNA". It matches the Rfam family "Eukaryotic large subunit ribosomal RNA", at positions 47 to 649 of the family's 3401-position model. The record is from RNAcentral. Lineage: Eukaryota; Fungi; Basidiomycota; Agaricomycetes; Russulales; Russulaceae.
UAAGCGGAGGAAAAGAAACUAACAAGGAUUCCCCUAGUAACUGCGAGUGAAGCGGGAAAAGCUCAAAUUUAAAAUCUGGUGGUCUUUGGCCAUCCGAGUUGUAAUUUAGAGAAGCGUCUUCCGCGCUGGACCGUGCACAAGUCUCCUGGAAUGGAGCGUCAUAGAGGGUGAGAAUCCCGUCUUUGGCACGGACACACCAGGGCUUUUGUGAUGCGCUCUCAAAGAGUCGAGUUGUUUGGGAAUGCAGCUCAAAAUGGGUGGUGAACUCCAUCUAAAGCUAAAUAUUGGCGAGAGACCGAUAGCGAACAAGUACCGUGAGGGAAAGAUGAAAAGCACUUUGGAAAGAGAGUGAAACAGUACGUGAAAUUGUUGAAAGGGAAACGCUUGAAGUCAGUCGCGUCGACCGAGACUCAGCCUUGCCUCGGCUUGGUGUACUUCUCGGCCUGACGGGUCAGCAUCAAUUUUGCCCCUUGGAUAAUGGCGAGGGAAAUGUGACACCUUUACGGUGUGUUAUAGUCCCUUGUCGCAUGCAAGGGUUGGGAUUGAGGAACUCAGCACGCGCCUUUGGGUGUCGGGGCUUUGCCCACGAUACGUGCUUAGGAUGNUGGCGUAAUGGCUUUAAACGANC